UUUAUGUGUCACUUGAGGUGUAAAAUAAACCGUUGCACAUCUGUAUACAAUGAUUAUGAUGUUUUUUUAAUUUGGCUUAUUUUUCUUGAUCUUUAGUAGGAUGUUCUUAUAAUUUUGCUGUUUUUUUAUUGUUUUCUAGAGAGCAGACCUAUUUUUGGUGCUCUUUUUUUCCAUCAUUUUUCUUCUCAAUAGCGUAAAAUCCCUCUCUUAUCAUAAAUUAGUGUGCACUCAGUGAGCUCUUCUUCCAACUAAAGGGGGUGACAUUUGCUGAAGCUCCUUUUUUGGUUUCACUGCAGGUUUUAUUCAAAUCUUUGUUAUUCGACUAGAAUUUUUAAGAAGUUGUUUGCUUUUGCAAUAAUUCUGUCUUUGACUUUGGCUGAGUUUCUCGGUUAAAUCUUUGAGUUUCUAUAUUUCGAUUGUUGUGUGGAUGUUUAUUGUUCAUUUUUUGCUCUAAAAUCAUGCAAAAUCUAGAGAUUUUAGAAAUCAUGGAUUUGUUUUAGUGUUUUUCUAUGAAAUCAUGCAAAAUCUAGAGAUUUUAGAAAUCAUGAAUUUUUUUUAGUGUUUAGUAUUUAUAGGAAUUCUUAUUUUGGACGUUACUUUCAACCUGUGUUUAUAUCUUUGUGUCACUUUGCUGAAAAUCCUAUGCUCAAUGUUUGGUUUGUUUCAAUAUUAUUUUGCAAUAAUUAGUUAAAAUACCAUUAAUCGUAUUUUGUGUUCGACAGGUUAACCAUCUACAAGUGUUCGAUGCUUGAGGAUAGAACAACAUUAUAAAACCAUUCAUUUGCAUCAACAUUUAUAUAGUGAUGUUUAUGUGUGAAUUGAGGUGUU
Molecule: long non-coding RNA, 828 nt
Filed under: Erythranthe guttata (spotted monkey flower)
Lineage: Eukaryota; Viridiplantae; Streptophyta; Magnoliopsida; Lamiales; Phrymaceae
Description: long non-coding RNA (EGUT_LNC003497)
Source: RNAcentral